GUAGAAACGGCCCGGGGCUACAACCGUACGGUAAUUGCUAUUUAGUAAACGUGGCAGACUAGAGUACUGUAGAGGGGGUAGAAUUUCAGGUGUAGCGGUGAAAUGCGUAGAGAUCUGAAGGAAUACCGGUGGCGAAGGCGGCCCCCUGGACAGAUACUGACACUCAGAUGCGAAAGCGUGGGGAGCAAACAGGAUUAGAUACCCUGGUAG
Molecule: ribosomal RNA, 210 nt
Filed under: uncultured bacterium
Lineage: Bacteria
Description: partial 16S ribosomal RNA
Rfam family: Bacterial small subunit ribosomal RNA
Source: RNAcentral